AGCCAUUCUAGAAUUAACUACUCUAAUUUUAACAUGCUUAACUCUUUUAACCUCUUAAAUCUGAUCACAGUCUAAAAAUACUAUAAUGAAAUUUAUGUACCGUUUGGUUCAGGUAUAAGCAAGAACUAGCUAUUACAGGAAUAGGUACAAGUAUGGAGAUAAGAAAAAUAGCGUUUGGAUGAAAAUUGAAUUGUUUCCGGGGAUAAGAAAAAUAGCGUUUGAAUAGAUAAUAUGGAAUAAGAAAAAUAUUAGAUAGUUUUAUAUAGAAAAUGAAGGUGUUAGUCGGGAUAGUUAUAAUCGGUUAUUAUAUAUAGAUAAUCGAGAAUUACUGUUCUCGAAUAAAAUAUUAGCGUUUGGGUAUAAAGGAGAUAAGGGCCCUAUCCCCUUGCCAAACGUUGAGAUUUAGUACUAUUAACUCCCGUGCAAGAUGUAAACAAUAAUUUGUGUUAUAUCCAACGGUCGUAAUGGUGCAACUGCAAAAUUUUGCUUCGUCUCGGAAUAGGGAAAAGAGGAUCAGAGCCGUACAAUUUAUCACACUCCCCAUUUCCACUUUGUCAUCAUUAUCACCAUCCACACGCUCAGAUGCAUUCACACAUUUCAUGCACGAUAUACACUUGGUACUAUUUAAAUAUUAAUAUUUUAAAAUUACUAUUAAUUUAAUUUUAAAAAUAUUAUUGAGAAAUGAGAAAUAAGUAUCUAAAAUUUACAAUAUUUUACACAUUUGUUAAAGUACGGAUGCAACUCACGCUUUACAUACAAAUAAAAAAACUUACCUGUAUUGUAAAAAUUACUUGUGUAAAUAAAAUAAACAUAUUUUAUUUAAUUAUAAUAAUCUAAUUUAAUAGUAAAAUAAGAAGAAAUAUAGUACAUUAGUUAAAUUCGAUAUGUAAAACUUUAAAUUAGUUUACAAACUUAAAUUGUAUUAAAAAUUAUAGCAAUUGUUUUAAGCAUAGAUGUGCUUUAAGAAUAAAAAAAUAUAUUUUUGGACGAAAAUUUGACAUAUUCAAAAUGUCUAUUCCCAUAUAUAUAUAUAUAUGACUUGGGCUACUAUCGGUAGUAAACUGCUCGGUUUACUACUGAUUUGUUUCUUAUGAUAGAGCUUUUAAAUCGACGAUCGGCAUCGUUGAACAUGAUCUAGACCAUUUAAAUUAUCUAGAAAUCAAAUUUCAUGAUUUUUUAGCAUCACUAACUGAACGAUCAAAGGGUCACAAAAUCUAUAAUUUUAAUGGCCGAUAUGGUGUGUUUGCUCGUUUAACGGUAUAGAAAAGUUCAAAUCAACUAAAUUUUUGUUAAAAAUUUUUUUAAACUAUUUAAAAUAAGAUCUAGAUUCUAGAUUUCAAAUAUAAAAAUUGUAUUAUCACUUUUUGAAGGAUAUUUAUUUCCAGCCAUUUAUUUUUCUGUUUACUUGAUGGACAAGAGAACAAUAUCGANAGUAGUCGGACUAUAUAUAUAUAUAUAUAUAUAUAUAUAGAGAGAGAGAGAGAGAGAGAGAGAGAGAGAGAGAGAGAGAGAGAGAACUCGGCUGAAAUAUUUAUAAUAGCACCAAGUCAUUGGCGCUCAUGGGUUUUCAACCUUUGGAUGACGUUUCGUGGGGUUAGGAUAAUAGUGGCCAUCAUAUGGUUAGUGGUUAUUGGUGAAUUAGUAUGAUACAAGGAAUAAAAAUAGUCAAAAGAUAGAUUUAGUAAUGAAAAAGUUAGUAACACCUAAAGCUGUCCAAAAUAUCUAAUAUUUAAUACCCAAUUUGGACCCUACUCGGAUUGUAUCCGGACUAGAACUAGACCCGAUAAAAAAUGGAUAGUAUAUGGGUCAAAAAAAAAAAAGACCAUUAAAAUUUCGGGUAUUAGUCCGGAUAUUCUAUACCCAUAUACAACUUGAACCCGAUCCGAGCCCGACCUUUUAACGGAUAGGGUCGGAAACAGUUUGCAAAUUCAGAUCCGGACAAUGACUCGGUAAAAUACUCAAUAGUAAAUAAAAAAGAUUUUAAGUUGAGGGAUCAAUUUCAAUAGGACUUAUAGAUGAGGAGUCUCUCUUUAUAUUUUCAUCCUAGUGAAACCCAGCCGUUAUGUUUACUCAUUUAUUUUUUUUUAAUUCUUAUUUUUUAAUCCUAGCCACUCUGUUUACUGCUUGAAUCUUUCUCUCUAAAUAUGGGUUCCUAUUUAUUGCUGGAGUUAAGGAAAGGAGUGAAAAGAAAAGGAAAAAAAAAAUCAAACCUUAGCCGCCUCUCUGAUCUCUCUGACCGGGUGAAACUCAUUAAAAUGCGAGUUUUUUAUAAUGCGAGAUUUAUGGUUUGUCCAUAAACCAUAAAAUAGUCUAUAAAAAAUAUGCACGUACGAGUACUCAUACCCGAUUUAAAUCCGACACUACCCAAUCUUAAACGGGUAAUAUAUGAUAGUCACUUUUAGACCCGCUCAAAUAGACUCGAUGGAUAUAUUAGGAACUUAAAUAUUCAAAUCUAAAUUCAAAUCCAAUCCGAAAUUAAAUGAGUAGGGCAUAUAUUUUUUUUUCUUACCCAUUUCUUUUUAGGAUACUGCUGCAGCAUAUUAACUACUCAGAUCCAAUCCGGUCCACAGACACCUAACACCAAAUAUUUUAUGCUAUUGGAAACACCUGAGCGAGACUAUCAAGUUUUCUGCUAUUAGAUCUACCCUUUGACUAUUUCCACCCAUUAAAUCAUACUAUUCAACCAACUAUCUACUUAACUCUACUAUCAUUUUACUAGUACAUUCUUUCAUUUAAGAGCCGAAAACUAAUGGCACCAAUGACUUGAUAGUAUUAAUAGUAUAAUAGUCUAGUUCUCUCUCUCUCUCUCUCUCUCUAUAUAUAUAUAUACAUAUAAUAUAGAAUUAUGCUAGAAUGCUUCUGAUAGUACUAAGUCAUUGGUGCUAUUAGAUUUUCGCCGACGAAGGAAUGUGCGGUUAUGAUGAUAAUGAUUCUCUAGUAUUGAGUAGGUUGUUGGUUAAAUAGUAUGAUUUAAUGGAUGAACGAUCAAAGGGAUAAAUUUAAUGGUGAAAAAUUUGAUAGUACCAAGUGCUUUGUGUUAUUAAAAACAUACUGGCUGAACUCUCUCUCUAUAUAUAAAGUAUUUACGACAUCGUGUUGACGUCAUUCAACUCGGUGGUCGAACCAGCGACACAAGACCUCUGACAAAGUUUUUGGAUCGCAAACGAUUUCGAGCAACGAAUUUGAUCAAAUUUAAUAAAUAAAACUUGCCAUUAAUGGAGCCUUGCUGUUACACUACAUAAUAAGAGGCUCCUGCUACAGUAAAGAGCUGACCAGUGACAUAAGUAUACAGGCCCCAUGAUUUUGGAACACCAUCAAACUCAGAAGUACCCUAAAAAGACAGAACCCUAAUUUCCUCCACUUUGUUCUCUCCUUGGACCACAUCUGCAACAUUCUCACUUGUUGAGAGAGAGAGAGAGAGAGAGAGAGAGAGGUUUUUUUUUUCUUUUUUUUUGGAUUAUUUUGGGGGCAGCUGAGGAGCUGCUGUCUAUUUGAAUACUUGAUCUCAUUACUGGCUAUGGUUGGUAGUCACAAUAAAUGCAUGAUCAGUUCUUAGUUGGUUUGUUUGAACAAAUUGUAAGUGCAUGAAAAAUAAGAAUAGUUUUUCAAAAAAGAAUUGCAAAUGCGCGACAAUAUAUCACUGACUAGUUGAGUGUACAUAGUUGUUAUUCAGGAUUUCAUUUAAGAGAACGUGUUCGAUUCCUUUUGUAAUUAUUUUAGCUGUCAGAUCGUCUCAAAAUUUGUACAGCACUAGCAAAGAAAACUUAAUGGAAUAUAUUGUUAAUAAUAUUGUAUGAAUUUUGAGGCGAUUCAAUGAUUAAAAAUUUCACAAGCAUAAAUUCUCCUAUGCUUUUAAAUGCACAACAGCUCAACUCUCUUUCUCUCUUUAUAUAUAUAUAUAGAAAGAGAGAGAGUCCGAUUACUAUACCAUCGAUAGUACCAAGCGUUUAAUACUAUCAAGUUUUUCGUUGUUAGAUUUAUCCCUUUGACUAUUUUCACUCAUUAGGUCAUACUACUCACCCAACUACUUACUCAACCCUAUGGGACUAUUAUCAUCCUAAUCGCACAACUCCUAAUCCAAGAGCCAAAAACCUAAUAACACCAAGCACUUGAUACUAUAGUAUAGUACUCUAAUUCUAUAUAUGUAUAUAUAGAAUUCAGCUACGUACUAUCUUUUUAGGAAAAUGGAGGUCUUUGUCCUCUUAAGUCGUUUUAGAUGAUAGAGAUUUCGAAUUGAUGAUCGAAACUGUUAAAAUUAAUCUAGAGUAUUGCUACAAAAUGUUGUAAUAAUAAAUGACUAAAACACAUGAUUUGUGUUCGCAAUAAAAUUGUUGCAAUAUAUUAUAUUUUAUAAUAAUUUAGUUUCCGAUAUAUGAAUUGAUAUAAUAGAAUAAAAUUGUUGUAACGAAAUCAAGUUAAGACAAAAUGUCGAGGGAACAAUUUUGAGCUCAAAGUAUAGUCCGAGAGGUCUCCAUACAUUUUUAUCUUCGGGAUAAUCAUUUAUAUACUCCUCAAAAUUUCUGAAAUAUUUUAUAUAUUCUUUUUUUUUUCAAAUAUAUCAUCGCAUAUUUUUCUAUUAUUCAAAAAUAACCCGUUGUUAGUAUCUAUUAAGUCAUUUUUAGUUAAAUCUGAGUUAAAUUUCUGUCAGAGUUAAAAAAAUAUCAAAAUAACUUUUUUAUUCCUAACUUAAGGACAAAUAAGAAAAGUUAAUGAUGGUAGAAUAAUAUAUUUGAAAAGAAAAAAUAUCAAAAUAAUUUUUUGCUCUUAACAUAGAAAAGCUAGUGACGACAAAAAGGCAUAUUUGAAGGGCAAAAUAAUAAUUUCACAAAAAUAAUGAUUGUUUAUAACAGUUCACUAACAGAUUUAAUUCUAAUGAUACGUAUAUUUGAAAUAACUUAGAACAUUAAAAAAAUAUUUUUAAUAUUAGCCUUCUAAAAAAAAUAAAUAAAUAAUUAAAAACUUUUGAGAUAUAUAUCAGGAAUUGUCCUUUUACCUUAAAUGGAUGUAUAAAUGCAAAGAAAAAAGGAAAGAGAAAAAAAAAAACUUAUAUUUUAUAUUUUAAGGAACACCUUUUGCUAGCUUUUAUCAAAUGUACCUUCAUAUUCUCCCCCUUUAUGAUAUCUUUUUUGAGAUAUAAAACAUCCAAAGAGAAGAUGAUUGAACAAAAACAUGCCAAUUAACUUUUCACCCUCAGGACUCAUCUUUUGGUUUGAGCAUGCAUAAAGUUGUACGGACGUCCCUUUUGCUCUUUUUCUUUUUUUUUUUUUUUUUUUUUUUAAANNNNNNNNNNNNNNNNNNNNNNNNNNNNNNNNNUUUUUUUUUUUUUUUUUUUUUUUUGGGAAAAAUUCAAAUAACUCUUUUGUGGCUUCACUCCUUCUCACUUUAAUACUCUGUGGUUUAAAGUAUAUCAAGUUAGUACCCUGUGGUUUCACAUUUUCUCACUUUAGUACCCUGUGGUUUAAAGUGUAUCAUGUAGUACCCUGUGAUUUCGCACUUUCUCACUUUAGUACCCUGUGGUUUAAUACUUCAUUAAGAGAAAAAUAAAAUCACGGUGUACUAACUUGAUAAAAAAAUAAACCAUAGGGUAUUAACUUGGUACAAAAAUAAAAUCACAGAGUAUUAACUUGAUACACUUUAAACCACAGGGUACUAAAGUGAGAAAGUGCAAAACCACAGGGUACUAACUUGAUAUAUUUUAAAUCACAGAGUACUAAAAUAAAAAGAGUACGAAACCACGGGGGGUUUCUUGAAGUUUCCCCCUUUUUUUUCUAAAAAAAAUCUUUUUGUCCCUUUUCACAAAUGAAUUAAAGGUUAAUUAGAAAUGUAAACUUUGUGCAAAAGUAGGAUAACAUAUUAAAUGGCUCAGGGACAAAAAAAUUGUACAAAAUUUUUAAAAUUGAGAUUUGAAAAUAUAUUAUUCAUGAGCUUCUGUUUAGGGACUAGUAGAGAAAUAUUUAUGCAUGCCUGUAAAUUAUAUCUAUAAUAUUAGAAACAGAUGUUCGUGCCUUUCCUCUUUGCGGUAUUUUUCAGAUUCCUGAAAAUGUGGGUUAAAAAUCGAGAAAAUUUUAUCUUAGGCUCGUCACCGAAUCUAAUAUGAUAGGAAUUUGUAAUUCUUGUCGAAUCUUAAAAUCUCACGAACUUUGAAAACUCCAAAUUCAUUGGCUUUUUUAGGGCUUGUUUGAUAUUGAGAUUAUCUAAUAUAUUAAUAGCAAAAUAAAGUACUAGUUUAGUUGAAAAUAUAUAGAAAUAUACUUCUCGAUUUCAGAUAUAACAUCAGUAUAUAUAUAUAUAUAUAUAUAUAUAUAUAUAUAUAUAUUGAGAGAUAGGUAUCACACUAUCCAUNNNNNNNNNNNNNNNNNNNNNNNNNNNNNNNNNGAGAGAUAGGUAGCACGCUUCCCGCUUCGUUUAUUUCAUUUAGAAAUAAACUUAGCUAGAAAUGUGAAUCAAUUAGGAUUCGAACUUGGGUUUCGGAUACCAACCAUCAAGCCUUUUGCCACUUACUCUAGGGACGGUCGGUCAUCAGUAAAUAUAUUAUAAUUGACUCAUUACUAUAUAUGUGAAAUGUAAUAUUACAUACGAAAAUAGAUAGAAUAUUUUUUUAUAUUAUAUUCUCAUUGUGAGUAAUACAAUCUCUCUGGCCAUAAUCCCUAACGAAGACUUAGUUUUUUUAAAAAAAUAAAAAUAUGGUUUGAACAAACUAAAUUAUCCCAUUCAAUUUUGAUAUUUAUCGACCUAUUCAAUACAAAACAAUAUAAAAUUAAUAUCAAUUCGUUCAAGUAAUUAAUAAUAUAUAGAAGUCAGCUUAGAGAUAUAAACUCAUUACUUUCAAAACCAAAGGCAAAAAUGAUAUGAUCCUAGGCAUUCCAAGAUGCGGAAUCAAAUAAAAAUGUUCUUACAUUAUUGAAAUUCAAUUCUUUUAGCUAGUUUUAUGUGAGUUUUAAAUCUCGUGAACCAUAGAUAUCCAAACAUGGAUACAGUGGUAGAGGAAUAAUAUUUAUAUAUAUUUAUUUUUUAACCUGUCUAAGGAUUAUUAUGUGAUAGUUGGACUAAUAUCUCUCCAAGAAUUAAUUAAAAAAUAAUAAUAAAUAUUGUUGUGACACUCCACUUUGGAGUCAUCCGUCGUAAAAGUAAUAUAGUCUUAACACGCUUAGUACUCUCUUAACUUUUUGAACUUAUCACCGACCGUCCCUAGAGUAAGUGGCAAAAGACUUGGCGGUUGGUAUCCGAGAUCCAAGUUCGAAUCCUAGUUGAUUCACAUUUCCAGCUAAGUUUAUUUUUAAAUGAAAUAAACGAAACGGGUAGCGUGCUACCUAUCUCUCAAAAAAAAACUUUUUGAACUUAUCCAUCGUCUAAAAUGCUAUAACGAGAUGUUAGAUGUGACUCGAAAUCUACUAUCGAUUCAGGUUCGGGUUUACGACUCGCCGACAGCUUCGUGGUGCGACCAAUUUGGAAAAGAAAAUUAUGGAGGAAAAAUGAAUGUCUGUGGUGGGUAGCGGAGGGCUCGGGCCGACAGGCCCGAGAUCCGAAACCCUUUAUGAGUUUUUCCUUUUUCGUUUAUCGUUUAUGCCCUAGAGGCAGGUGAUCGUGGUUGGUUGUAACCUGAAGAACUUGUAUUCCCUUUUUCGUUCCAUAGUGAAGAUCUCUCCUCCCUCGCCCGUGGUUUUUUCCCUGCAAAGGGUUUUCCACGUAAAUCUGUGUCUCUUUAUUUUUCUGCUUGUGGUUUGAUUGUUUUUGUGUUCGUCAUUUCGUUUUCGUUUGUGCGUUUGUCGUAACAAACUGGUAUCAGAGCCCUAGGUUCAUUGAUUAGGGUUUCUACAUCAAUGGCGUCCAUGAAAUAUGAUCUUCCUUUGCUCGACCACAGUACACGAUUUACAUUAUGGCAAGUGAAGAUGCGCGCAGUCUUGGCUCAGAUGGACCUAGAAGAUGCGCUGCUCGGGACUGAAAAGAUGUCUUCGUCCCUCAGUAUGGCGGAGAAGGAGAAGAAAGAUAACCGAAGUGCCCUUAACAGAUCAACUCAACCUUUCAAAUGAAUCUUACCAACAUGUCAAUCAAGGAAAGAAUCUGCGAGCUAAUCUUGAAAUGGAUCGUUAUCAUAAAUACGACUAAUUAAGCUCACCGAACCAACUCCAUCUGAAGCAACAUUUUUCUCCCUCUCGACAAAGGAAGAGCAUUGACCCAUCGUCGAGACUUAAAGAAUUAUACUUGAUCUGAGAUGAGUCUGUCUGAUGAUAAGAUUAGCGUAUUCCUUGUUCUUACGAUCCGUAUUACAUUAUAGAAAUUUUAGAGCGAAUCGAUUCCUUAAUGGAUCCUGAUAAUCUUUAAUAUUCGAUUCUCAUAACUCCUGCGCACUACCCGUUGCGAGAGGCGUGAUCAUAAUGUACCGCGCCCAGACAGUCAGCGGUCUCUAAAUACUCAAUACACCGCACAGACAAGUCCAAACGAAGCAAAUUUCGCGGUGACGAUAAGAAAAGGCAGAUCUAAAUCCAAGCAUAUACCUUUCAGACUCUCCAUGACUCCGCCAAAUUACUGUUACAGAAGAGAGGAGAAUCAUAUUAAGUGCCGGAACAAAGCUCUUAGCAACAAAAGUGAAUAAGAAGAACCACCCGCACCGAGAAAUAUUCUCAAGGAGAUCUGCAAAAAUGCAUCCCAAACAAACAUGACAAUCUACUCACAGGGCGAAAUGAAUCCUUAAGAAAGCCAAUUCGUGAAACCAUACGUAUCAAUUACAAUUACAUAAGUAACCUAAAGCCCCAUUGCUGAAGUCUGCCAAAUGUAAGUAUUAAGCAAGAAGAAUUGACACCUGUAUAAAAUUAACAAAAUAUGCACAUAAACGACCUACAGGACAGUAAAAUAAGCCUACAGCUGGCACGCAAAUAAUCAAUAGACAUCUGCAUUCAACCAAUCAGCCAACACAGAAUUGGAUCAGUAUUCGGUGCUCUCAUCGCUCACAUUGUCCCAGACAGCGAAUCUUUCCCAGCGAUGAACAAAUCCUCUGUCAAAACCGAACAUAAUAUAAUCUGUGUAAUUGUUAACUUGUUGGUGAUGAGCCGAUUACGUUAGUACUGCGUAGAAUGGAAUGCAAACUCACUCGCAUAAAGUUGUUGACACGAAAAAGAGCACUCUCGGCAUGAACAAACAUCUUAACAUCAUUUUAGACACACGAAGAAAAAUUUCACUUCAGAAACAUACAUCUGCCUCUCACAACGUUAUCCGUUUAACCGACUGUCAAAACCUAAAUUAAAAAACAAUAUCCAAGCUAAUUCAAAACAGUAAAUCAAUCACACUAUAAGACACAUCUCUAUGAACAGUUAACCAGCCUAACACUACGACCGCUAAGUAUACAAAUUCCAACAGAAAUUAUGGUGAACCACGAAAUUUAUACCUGAAUAUUCGUCAUCUAAAGGAGAUAUCCUUGUGAUAAACGAAGGCCAAGAAAGAAAUGUAGUGCGCAUCCAGGUUUCGAACCUGACAAGUGGACAAUGCUGCCGGAUUUCUCUCUAGCUUCCUCACUCGCUAUGCCUGAUUCCAUUCAGCCAUCACUGUACACAACCAUCCACCAAAAUUAUGCAUAACUUACAUGAGCUGCGACAUACUGAGCCGACAAGCGGUGGGAUCGGGCCCACGUCUCAUUGCUGGCGAGCCGACCCCGAGGAACUCUUGAUGGCCAAUAAAUUUCAUCUCCACUCCAUUUCUUGAUCUAAGUUCUAGGGAAAUCUACCUCCAGAACACUGCUACGAGUGGAAACAAAGUACCAGUUUCGAACGGAAGCAACUCCACAACGAAUCAAAAAGAACUCUAAGAUACAUCCACUAUAUUCUCAGAUCUUGGGGCCAGCAGCAACAACCGGGGCCAAUACCUCUAGAAGUGGAGCGACCGAAUAUAGCGACCUUCAAGAUGCACUUACCAUAAGAACAGUUGCAACAAUUGAUCCUACUAUCACUACAAAACCGAAUGACAGAAUGACGACAGAAUGCCUAGUUAAACGUCACCUCAUUCCCACACCACACAAUGAACCUAAGUCACAAGAUGAAAUACGUCUCAUUUAAUCAAUGAGCUUUCACAUAUUGAAAGACAGACUAAGUAUAUAUAAAGAACACUGGAUAACUAAAAUUAAUAGUAUCGCCGCUCAUUGAUUGAAAACUAUCAACACAACAAAUAUUCUAACAAUGAAUUUCCAACACUCGACAACUGAUUGGUACGUUCUGUUCACGGAGAAUUCAACUCAUUCAACUCACGUAGAACUUCUCAUAACCUAAAAUAAGGGAUCGCGACGAGACCAAUAAACUGAGCAUUAUACCAAAUCAAUCAUCCACCAUCGAUACACAUCGACACAAAAAAACCUUUGUUCAACUUGACAAAAAUACAAACCUUAUAAAAGUAAAUCAGGGACUUCAACAUAUUGUAAUGCUUAACAACAAAGAACCCCAAAAAAACAAACGAAAAAAGCAAUACAAUAUAGCGCGCAACAAACCAUAUCACCAAACAAAUCACCCAUAUUGAGAAACAGCAGCACAUCAACCUCUUAAAGAUAUUGAGAACAACUAACUAUACGCGUGGCUCGAACGUAAGAAUAAGAACAUUUGACGGAAAAGACAGACGUGUUCUAACUCUCGAAGAGCAUGAUCUUGGCGAGCGAGUUCUGGGCCAAAAUGCUGCAUCCUAACAGCCUUGCAAUCAAAUAUAUGUUGAACCUCCCGUCCCCCCAUUACGUCUAGUCUCGACCUCUAUUCUCCAAAGCGAAUACUAUGAAAAACUAUUUACCACUUGAAGAAGCUAAUGUACACCAUUGACCUGACCCACUCUGCGCGCCUCCUAAGUUACUCUGAUUUAAUAAAUUCGCAUGUCCUAUAUGCAACCAGCAAAUAGCAGGAAAAUUAAAACCUAGAUCAAAAGAACCAAGUUUAGGUUAUGCUUCUCGGGCACAAAAGGUUUUCGUCCUGUCGCGCUGUCGCUCCUCGCCAAGAUACACAAAAUUAAUACAUCAAGCAGAGCAUUCAAGUUAAGCGAAACUCGCGCGAUACCACCUCGCCAAACGAGGAUUGCCGUUUUCUGUGAAACAGUACAUCAUGCAAAUGAAAUAAGUCAGACCUGUGCAGCGUGCACACUACAACUGAACAACUAAUCAAUCUUGAAAAGCCUGAUCUUACUGAAUAGAGAUAAAUUCUGAUCGAGGUAGUGACGUUUCCAAAACACAAAUCUCUACGCCACACUAUGCCAAAAAUCAAGACCCUAAUAAUAACCAAUCGUUGGAAGCCACCCCCCCAGCAACUACUAAUCAUAACUAGUCAGUCAUACUACCAAUUAAUCAAUAAAUUGCGGACGAUUACUGCUCUAAAUCAACUACAUGAACCAGACGCGCAACCACGACAGACACAUAUUCUCGAUAGCUCAAGAUCGACCGAGAAAGGGAGAUUAACCACCCCCGCCAAGCAGCAAGAUAUGAAAAACAAAUUGUGGCUAUGCAUUUAGAAACUGCUUCAAAAUUGAACAGAUCGCGUCUGAGGACGCCGUCACAUAUACACGAGGUCAAGUCAUAUAACUAUCAAUUGUUCUCCAGUAUGGAGAGAAGAGGAAUGAAUCUCUCAUAGACAACUUGGACUAGUGAACCUCAAAGGAAAAGAAAGCUUUCGUUUGCAAUGGUGUCAGAAAAGAAGCACACCACAGAGAUUAAGUAGUCAGAAUACGAUCCCGUUUGCUUGCGAAAGCGGAUAGCAGUCAAAUUCCGUUCGACUCAAUCGAUGUUUCUCAACACCCUCCAUGUAAAAACAUACAAUCCAUCAGAUCCUACUGAUAUGUGCUAUAAUAGUUAGAACUUAGCAACCGAUCUAAGACGGCUUCUUACAUGGCGAAUUGGAGAAGAGAUUAUACUCACCAGCCCGAACGAUUCGUGGUUGAAGGAAAAGAAAAAACAUACGUUUUUUUGCACGAUUGAAAAAUCUCGUGUAUGAUUAAAGCAAAUCCUAAUGCAAAUGUACACAGAGGUUUUGAUAUCACUUAUGAAUACCAUUUGCAUUUAAUAGAAGCAAUUUUGAUAGUUGUGUUAUAUAAGAAUAAUUGAUGUCUUAUAUCUAUAAUUGCUCUUCUAUUGGAUCGAUACUGUUUAAUUGCCCUAAAACUAUGCUGACUGUUGAUGAUCUUAAAAACAUUAUCCGUGAAGUCUGAAUUUGAUGUCAAUUUCACGAAGAAAUACUUGAUAUGAGAUACACGAACAAAAAGCAACCAGAAUUACCGCUACUCAAGGUACACUCCACCCGCGUAGGAGCGCUUUGAUAUGAUGAGUAACCUGUAAUACAAUUCGCCUUUCUACAAUACAUUUAACUUCUUCACCUGAUUUGCCGCGAAAACGAUAAUCUGAAAAGCAUAUAUGGAACAGCCCGACCUCAGUCCGCUAUCGUACAUUAAAUGCUAGCAGCUCACCAACCAGAUAUUGCCUCGUAUUCACGUGUGAUAGGUACUGGGCAAAUGCCGCGGAAAGCAACAUUGCAAGCUGAAAAGGAUUUUGAAAUAUUUGCGAGAGUACACUAAAUGCCUGUUCUAGAGUUCGGCUAUAUCUCGAUACAUCUGGGACAGGAUACUUGGAUUCGGAUUAAUGCUGGAUAUCUUGAUAAUGAAAGAUCACUUUACGGUAAAUAUGCUUUCUCAUAUGGCGAAUGCUGCGCUAUAGUUGACGAGAGUUGUUACAGCCUACUGUGCAGCGUCUACGCCGACGACGGCGAGUCAUGCCGAAUCAACGGAGGCCUGUGAAGGAAAGGUAUUGUUAAUCAGCUACCUCGUGAAUAAGCUGAUACGACAGUCAGAAAUUAACCAUUUUUUGCGACAUUCAGAGUGCUAUUAUCCACUAAAGGAUCAACUUUCAUAAGAACGAACAUAAUUGACAUCCGAAGUAUCAUUUUAUUCGGAUGUCUCCAUUCUGGCGCGGCAACCGGAGACAUUUGAUGAAGAGUAGCACUUCAAAAACCUGCCGACAUUUACUGAUAGUUCUCUUAAUUCUCCAAUUCAAUGCAUUGUGCUGGACUUGAUUAGUAUUUAAGGCCUCUGAUGAUGAUCCUUAGUGUGAUGAGUGAGAGUUUAUGAUUGCGCUUUCAUUUAAAGGAUUUCUCCGUCAAGGUGAAUUUUUUGAGAUUGUACUCCGAAUCUAACAUCGGUUCAGGUUCGGUUUACGACUCGCCACCGGGACUUCUGCGUGCGAGCCAAACUGUUGGAAAAGAACAUUAGAGAAAAAUGAAAUGCAUUUGGUAGUCGCAGGCGCGCCCCUCAGGCCGACAAGCCGACCCCCCGGUAUCAUGUCUCGAAUCUGCAUCCCGAAACGUCCAUUAGAGUUUUCCUUUUCGUUAUUGUCGUUUAUCGCCGCGUACGAGCGUUGUGAUGUGUUGUUGGUAACCGAAUAACCUUUGGUAUGCCUUUUUUUCGUCCAUGUUAGAAGAUCUCUCCUCCCUCUNNNNNNNNNNNNNNNNNNNNNNNNNGGACAUAAACAUGCCGCAGCGUGUUUAUGUUUUCAUAUCGGUCCUUUGUUGGUGUUGGUUUACUUAUAUUUCUAUUGAUAUGUAAGUAUGUAAGUGGUAAGUGUAGUGUCAAAAUGUAAGUCACAAAUUUAUCUUUAAGUGCUUUUAAGGAAACUUUUGACAAGGGAUGUGCCUUUGGAAAUAAGCAAUUUUUGCGAUGGUGCUCCCCAUCUUUUGGAAAAUAAAAUGUUUUAGGUCUUUAGGUGUAAAAGUUUACAUUAUUUAUGACUUGGUGUAUUUGGUUGAUUUGAUAAGUAGUCGGUUUUAUUCUUCCCAUUCUUUCAUUUAGCUUAAUUGGGCCCAGCUUUCGAGUUAGCUGGCGAUGUGCGCAUGGAGUGCAGAGCAGGGUGAUGAGUAGCGGGUGCUAUAGACUUUUUACCACCCCCUCCACUCUUGUACAUUUGUACAGAGGGGAGGGUCACCCAUGGCGUUCGGCUUCUUCCGCUCCUCAUGAGUGGAGACUCUGUCCGUGUGAACAGUGGAUUUCCUGUAUUUGUGGCGGAUCUGGCAUACCCUGGGGUCAGGUUUGCAAAAAAAAAAAAAAAAAAAUUUUCGCUGUGUUUUUAACCUAAAGGGACCCCGGGGCGUGACAAAAACAAAAUUAAUAUUUAGCUAAAAAGAUGUUACACCGCUCAAAAGUGUGCAUGAACAAUAUUUCUCUUUUUAAAUAUUUUUCAAUAUAAAGGUACUAUAUUAUUUUUAUAUAGUAUUAAAAAAUUAAUUUAAAAUACAUUUUGUAUGGUAUAAUUGUUAGGAGUAAUAAGUCCAAAGGAAUUAGGUUACGGAGCAGGAGAAAAAAAGAGAAAAGAAAAAGAAGCAACAGAGAUCUCCCAGGGAGAGGGACAGGAGCAAAUCUACAUAAGUUUGUCCUCUUUCUCCCAUUCCAAUGCCUCACACAUACAUCCAACACUUAGCCCCCACCACUAUCUACAGCUUUAAUUCAAAUGCAUAAUAUGCUCUCUCUCUCUCUCUCUCUCUCUCUCUCUCUCUCUAUAUAUAUAUAUAUAUAGUUCGGCUAUGGUACUUUUAAAAACACCAAGUACUUGGCGUUUAUAAGUUAUUUACCAUUAGAUCUAUUCCUUUAACCAAUUCCACCUCUUAGAUCAUAUUAUUCCACCAACCACCCACUCAACCCUUGGUGAUCACUAUCAUCCUAACCGCACAUCUCUUAAUCUAAUGACCGAAAACCCACCGGCACCAAUGACUUGGUGUUUUUAAAAAUAUAUAAACUCAAUUAUAUAUAUAUAUAUAUAUAUAUAUAUAUAUAUAUAUAUAUAUAUAUAUUAACUCGAGGAUAUAAAAAUUUUCAUAGUCUAAUAACCACGAACUUUUAACUACCCUACACACCAAUCCUACUAUCUGUAGGUGUGAAUCUUACUAUCACUCUGGGGAUUCCAACUCACCCAUCAACCAACUUAUCAUACUAAAUUGCCUAACAUUACUAGUUUUACCAUCUAGAUUGCCAUUUUUUAAAUGUUCGUGGUUCACAAACUACGAAAAUGUUCGUAGUAUCGGUUUGACAUAUNUCAAAUCACGUGAAAUUUUGAUAAAAAAUUUCAAUGUCAUAUUAUCACGUUUUGUAAGAUUUUUAUUUUUAGCCGUUGAUUUUGAGCCCCUUCGUUCACUAGGCAAAUAAUAUCGAAAAAUCACAUAAUUUAUUUUCUAGGUACUUCAAAUACUCUAGAUCAAGUUAAACGAAGCCAAUCGACGAUUCGAAAGUCGCAACAUCGAAAACAACCUGGAAGAUCUGUGCUUCCAGAAGCAUAGUAGCCUCACUAUAUAUAUAUAUAUAUAGAGAGAGAGAGAGAGAGCGAGAGAGAGAGAGAGUCCGGCUAUGGUGCUUGUAAAAGCACUAAGCACUUGGUGCUUGUAAAUCUUUUACCAUUAGAUUUACACUUUUGAUCAGUUUUACCCGUUAGAUUAUACUAUUCAUCCAACCACCCACUCAACCCUAGGAGAUCCACAUCAUCCUAACCGCACAUCCCUUAAUCAAAGGGCCGAAAACUUACAAGUACCAAUGAAUUGCAAAUAUAUCCCUCUAAAUAUAGUGAGUUAAUUUCAUACAUGUCCCUCUAAAUAUAGUAAAUUGCAAAUAUAUCCCUACAAACUUCAACUUUCAUAUAUUGUUCUUACAAAAGUCCUAAUAUUUUCAAAUAUGCCCUUUUGGUUUGUUACCAUUAAAGUACUGCUUAUUUUAUAAGUGAAAUGACCUUUUGCCAUCACAAACAUGUCCCUUCAAAAGUCCCAAGUGUUAAGUGAAAAGGGCUAAAAAGGUCAAUUCACCUUAUUAACUAAUUAGGAUUAAGUAUUUUACUUAUAAUUAACUAAUUUUUUCUAAUGUAUCCUAACGGCAGGGGCAUAUUUGAAAAUAUCCGAACUUCUGCAAAAACAAAAUAUAAAAGUUAAACUUUGUAGAGAUAUAUUUACAAUUCACUAUGUUUACAAAGAACUGUAUGAAAUUAACCCUUAUUACAUACGUAAAAUACUUAACCCUAAUUAGUUAGUGUAGUGAAUUGACCUUUUUACCCCUCUUCAAUUAACAGUUGGGACUUUUGGAAGGACAUAUUUGUGAUGACAAAAAUGUCAUUUCACUUAUAAAAUAAACAGUACUUUAACGGUAACAAAUUAGAGUGAUAUAUUUGAAAAUAUUAGGAAUUUUGUAAGGGCAAUAUAUGACAAUUGAAUUUUGUAGGGAUAUAUUUAUAAUUCAUUAUAUUUGUAGGGAUCUGUAUGAAAUUAAUCCUAAUUAUAAAAAUCAAUUUACAUAAAAGAAUUAACUGAUUAUUUAUUUUUAAAAAAAUAAAUUAUUUUUUUAUAAUUUGCAAAUUAGAACUGAAAAUUUUUUUAUAGAAUAAUCUGGAUAUUUAGUAAACUGAUUAAAAUAUUCUCUUUUUUUUUCUUUAUUUACUCGCUUGUUCUUUUUUUGCAGUCUUCUUCGUCUCCUUUCUUCUCGCCUUUCCUUCAUCUCAUUUUUUUCUUGCUUUCUCUCUCUUCUCCUCCUCCUCCAUCGUUUACAUGUCGAUGCCGUACUUCUCUCUAUUUCGCCCACACCUCUGCCAGUGCCGGCGGCGAUGACGCAGGUUUGAAUAUGGUACAGAUUGCGGAGGUGAGCCUGUGGCAGGUGGCAUGGCUGUGGACUACGACGGCGACGAAAGUGCCAUAGUAUUUGAGUACGAUGGGAAGGGAAGGCACGUCAAGGCGGCGCGGCAAUUGCAGCAGAGGAAAAAUGAUGGGGAGGGUGGAGGCAAAAGGGAAAAAAGAAAAAUUGUAAAAAAAUGUGUUUUCCUUUUCUGGAAAGGUCACACGUGUCGUGGCCACUGUAAGGAAGGCCAACAAGUAGAGAAGAAAGAAAAAGAAAAAAGGGUUAUUUGCAUACACGUCCCCGCAAACAUAGUGAAUUGCGGAAAUAUCCCUGCAAAACGGAAACUCCAUAAGCUGUCCCUGCAAAAGUCCUAAUUUAUGCAGAUAUGUCCCUCUGAUUAACAUCUGUUAGAGAACUGUUUAUUUUUUAACAGUUUUUAUGUGAAAUGACCAUUUUGCCCUCACAAAUAUAUCCCUCCAAAAGCAUCUUCCCCCUCUCUUUCUCUUCCUCUUCCUCUUCGGGCCGCCGGAGCGGAUAGCGGCGACGGCGCGGGUCGAGCUCGCCGGCGACAAAGAAGAGGGAAGAGAAAGAAUGAGAGGAAGAAAAAAAGGGAAGAGGAAGAAGGAGAGGAAGAGGGAGAGGAAGAGGGAAGAGAAAGAUGAAGAGGGAAAGGGUUCGUCGCCGCGCGCCGCCGCCGCAUCUCCUCCCUCGCCGGCGACGAAGAAGAGGGAAGAGGAAGAGGAAGAGGAAAAGGAAGAGGGAGAGGAAGAAGAAGAGGGAGAGGGAGAGGGUUCGCCGCCGCCGUCGCAUCUUCUCCCUCGCCGGCGAUGAAGAAGAGGGAAGAGGAAGAGGGAGAGGAAGAAGAAGGGAGAAAAGGGAAGAGGGAGAGGAAGAAGGAGGAAAAGAAAGAGAGAGGGUUCGCCGUCGCCGCCGUCGUCGCCGCCGUCGCUGCCGCCGCCGCCCUCGCCGGCGACGAAGAAGAGGGAAGAAGAAGAUGAGGAAGAAGAAGAAGGGUAGGAUCGUAAAUUUAUCUUAUAAUUAACCAUGGUUAAGUACUUUAACCGUGGUUAACGAAAAUUUUCUAACAGUCCUUAACGGCAGGGACAUAUCUGCAUAACUUUAGACUUUUGCAGGGAUAACUUAUGGAGUUUCCGUUUUGCAGGGAUAUUUUCGCAAUUGACUAUAUUUGCAGGGACCUGUAUGCAUUUAACCCAAGAAAAAAUUACACUGUUUCAAACAAAAUUGUACUAUAUGAAACUAAGUUACACUAUUUGAGACUUAAGUUGCACCAUUUAAAAUCAUUUGUGAUUAAGUUGCAACUUUUCAAAUAGUUCAACUUAAUUUCAAAUAAUUUUAAAUGGCAUAAUUUACAUCUCAAACAAUACAACUUAAUUUCAAAUAGUACAAUUUCUAUUUUUAUGAUACAAUUUAGUUACAAAUAAUUUUAAAUUGUGUAAUUUAGUUUCAAACAGUGUAACUUAGUCUCAAACAGUGCAAGUAACUUUUUUUUUCUUCUUUAUUUUUUGACUUUUUUUUGUGGUGGUAUCGAUAUAUGAUUUUCUUCUCUGGAGAAAAAAAAUAUUUUUUUCUUUUUUUUCUUUUUCCCUCUCUUUAACCCUCUGCAUCUUUUUCUGCCACUGCACCGCCUCCUUGGCCCUCUGUCACAACCACUGCCCUCGCCUCAAUGAGCUCUCCCGCCCUGUUGUCCUCAAAUCUUGCGACACUCAUUAUCGUUGCCGUCUAUAGCAACGCUCUCUAUCACAGCCUAAUCUUUAUGAUCUGUGUCAUAUUCGAGCUCUUGUCAUUAUCGCCGACGUCAGCGGAGAUGUGGGUAUAGUAGGAAAGAGGAGCGCAGCAUCGACGUGGGGGCUGUGGAGAAAGAGGAGGAAAAGAAAGCAGGAUGAGAAAGAGAGGAAGGAAUGGCGGGGAUGAGAGAGAUGUACGAAAAAAGUGAAGAAAAACAAAUGAGAAAAAGAAAUGAGAGAGAAAGAUGAAUAAAUAUAUUUUGAUCGAUUCUAAAAAUUUAGAUCUAAUAUAUAAAUUCACAAAAUAGCCUAUAUUUGCCGAAAUGCAAAAUCAGUUGAUUUUUUUAUGCAAGUCAACCGCAUAUAAACCUAAUUAUAUAUGCGUAAGUUAUACAAAUUUUUAUGUAGGUAUAAAUUCCAAUCUAGCCGACUCAAAAUUAAGACUAAUAAGAACUAAGUUGGAAUACUAUCAAUAGCACCAAGUUAUUAGUGUUAUUAGUUUUUUAGCACUUGGAUUGAGAAAUAUGCGGUUAGGAUAAUGUGAGCCCCCUAGGGUUGAGUGGGUGGUUGGUUGAAUAGUAUAAUCUAACAGGUAAAAAUAAUUAAAAGGUUAAAUUUAACGGUAAAAAAUUCGAUAGCACCAAACCUUUGAUACUAUCGAUAGUAUCCCAGCUGAACUCGACUAAUAAUUUAAUAUAAUAAAAAAUGUUUAAAAUCACUUAUAGCAUUUUUCUUACCCAAAAAGCAAACAAUGCCUUUAAUUCACUGUCUCACAACAGCAAACUUGGAUCUGGUCCAACCACACCCACUCAUUAAUUCCAUCAAACCCGGAGCUCACUGAGUUUGCUGUUUAUUACCCUGCACUGCUAAAAUCCAACCUAACCCAACCAAACCACAAUGCUUAAAAAAGACCAAAAAUGAAAAAAUAAUCCUCUCUCUCUCUCUCUCUCUCAUUGGUGUCUCCUUCUCGAAAAAAAAAAAUCUAGAAUGCACCAGGUAUAUUGCUGAUGCUUGCGCACCCAAUCAAUAAAAUUAUCUUUCUUGAGUUGAUAUGUCACAUCGUAGUUAAUAGAAAAAUAUUUUUAUUAUACUUUUCUUUCAAAUAAAAAAAUAUGAUUAACUUAUUACUAAUGAUAUGGUGCAAGUAUGAUACAGUAAAUUUUCUCCUCCUUCUCACCCUUGGCUUCUUUUUAAAGAAUGGCUAUAUAAGUAGUCUAAGAACCUUUACCAACAUUUUAUCCCUAACCUUCUCUCUCUACAUACCCACCAUUUGUCCUCUCUCUCUCUCUCUCUCUCUCUCUCUCUCUCUAUUAAGGAGCAACAACAUUCUCUUUGGAGAAGAAGCUAUACCAAAGCUUGUUGAGGUUCUACAUAGUUUAAAGCCCAUUUUGAGGUAAGUUUUCGCUAGCUCUAUAUAUAUAUUGAGAUCUCUUGGGUGUUUUUUUUUGUUUUUUUAACUUGAGAUCUUUUGGUUUCUUUUUUUUUGAUUUAGUAUUCUCUAUAUAGGAAAAAAAUGGUGCUUUAAUUCUCCCUCUACAUUUCCUUUCAUUGAUCAUGUAGCAAGUGAAAUCUCAGUAUAAUAGUAAGCAAAACAAUAUAUUACAUCGCAGGUUGGUAGCUACUAUUAUAUAUUAUAUAUUAAUAUAUAUAUAUAUAUAUAUAUAUAAAUUAAUUAAAUGGAAAAUUAAACACACAUGGUUUUAAUUAUUGAAAAGUUUAUGUGGGUAGGUGUGUAUAAUUUUGUUAUUGAAAUGUUUUGAUUGUGCCAUAAAUGUUUAGGCCCCGUUUGGUUGAGGGAAUAGCGGGGAUAAUGAAAGUUAUCCCGCGAUUCCGCAAACGGGGUGAAAUUUGGCCAGGAUUUUUAUCCCGGUCAAACCUUGCUAUUCCGGUUUUCGGAAUAAAAGAAUUUGCUAUUCCACCAUUUUGAUGGAAUAGCACUAUUCCAAUACUUAAUUUCAAACUUAAUUAAAAUUAUAAAUUGAAUUAAAACUAAAUUAUAUAAUAUAUAUGCUUAUAUAUUAUAAUACAAUAUUUAUUAUAAAUUAUUAAUUGUAAUAUAUUAAUAUAUAUUAUUUAUAUUUAAAUAUUUAUAAUAAAUUUAUAAUAAAUUAUAUUUAAAUUUAUAAUAAUUCUUUUUAUUAAAUUAAGUUUAAGUAGAAUUUUAAAAAAAUUUUAUAAAUUUAUUAUAAUAAAUAGUUUUUAUUAAUUGUUCCACCCCAAUUCUUAUUUUAAAAUUUUAAAAAUUUUAAUUUUAAUUUUUUAAAAUUUUAUAAUUAUAAUACAUUAUCUUUAUUAUAAAAUUAUUAAUUGUACUAUAUUAAUAAUUAUUAUUUAUAUUUAAAUAUUAUAAUAAAAUUUAUAGUAUAUUUUAUUUAAAUAUUAUAAUAAUUUUUUAUUAAAUUUAAGUUUAAGUAGAAUUUUUAAAAAAUUUAUAAAUUAUUAUAAUAAAUUAUUUUUAUUAAUUGUUCCCAUCUAUUCUUAUUUUAAAAUUUUAAAAAUUAAAAUUUAAUUGUUAAAUUUAUAAUAUAUAAUCUCAAAAUUAAAGUUUAUAAUUUUAAUUUUUUAAAUUUUAAAAUUAAAUUUCGAUAUAUUUACUUUUGAAAUUUAAAAUUUGAUAUUUUAUAUUUUUCAAAUUUAAAUUUGAUCUUAAAUUUAAAGUUUGAAAUUUAAAAUUUAAAAUUUUGAAUUUAAAAUUUGAGAUUUUAAAUUUCAAAUUUUGAAAUUUCAAAGUUAAAAUUUUAAAUUUAAAAAUAUAUAUUUAAAAAUUUAAAAAUUUAAAUUCAAAUAUAAUAAGAGGAUAAUAUGAUUAUUUUUUAUUUAUAAAAUCCACUAUCUUUCUUAAUCCAUCUUACCUAACCAAACGCUAUUUUUUUUAUUCCCAGGAAUAACCCAAUUUUCAUCCAAACGCAAAAUUGAUCUAAUCCCCGCUUAUACCUCAAUUUAUACCUAUCCCUGGAAUAGUCACUUUUUUCUUAUCCUCGAACCAAACGAUACCUUAGAGUUUGGAGUUUGGUUGGAAAAUAAAGCGGGAACCAUAAAAAAAAUAUGUUUAAUAAUAAUUUUAUUAUUUUAAAUAUAGUAAAUUUUAUGGGCUAUCACUUAUGGUAAAAUUAUUUUUAUCCCCUUAUUUAAUUAAUAAACACCAAAACUGUAACUCAUUCGUGAAUUAAAUAAAACAACUACUACGUGAAUUAAAUAAAAGUUUGAAAUGCGGGAUGUUUUGGGUACACUUUGGAGUACGCGUAGCUCAUUCGUCUUUUUAUGUAGAGUUAUUAACAGCCCGAGGCGCGUGUGCCGCUCCUUAGCAUUCCGAUGGAAUUUUUGUGCUUACCCAACAAAACCCUUAUGUUAAAGUGACAAAAAUGCCCCUAUAGGUUUGAAAUUUGCCAGGGGUAAUUUUGACUUUUAACUACGCUCCUCGUACUUUGGUCCAUGUGUUACAGGGGCAACGAGAAAGAACUUAGUGGAAUAAAUCAAUUGUUGAAAAGUGAUAGCAAUGUUUUAAAUAGUUAUUUUACAUAUAUAAAAAAUAAAAAUAUAUAUAAAAUUUAUCUAAAUUAUAGAUCAUUUUAAGUUGACUAUUCAGUUUUUAAAAUUUUGAUAUUAUCAUCUAAUAUUUUAAUUUAUUUUAUUAGGAUCAAUUAAUGACUGUUUGACUUUAAAAUAUAAAUGCGUCGUUUAUCUUUACAGGUUUUGUUCGAAUAUUUCAUAUAAUUUUCACAAUUAUAAAUUUAUUAAAGUAAAUAAUUAAUUUAAAUUUAGAGAUUAAAGUAUUGUUGACUGAUUCGAAUCAAAGAAAUUAAAAUAUAUAGUAGUAAAAUCAAGUUUUUGAAAAGUUGGAUAGUCGACUCAAAAUAAUUCAUAGUUCAGAAAAUUUCAUAUGUUUUUACCUCAAAAAAAAAAUACUCUUGCCAAUGUUAUAUAGCUAUCUAAAUUUUGAAAUCUCUUUUAAAAAAUUAUAAACUUUAAAUUUCCUUUUUGCGGUUUAGCACAUUAUUUACGUUGCGACACUGUCGUUUACAAGCUUUACUUAACUACUUUAUGAUUUUAUUUUCAUUUCACAGUUAGAAAUUACAGUUUGAUAGAAUAGUAUAGUAAUAUUUUUUGCAAACCAUAAAAUUAUGGAAAAACUUCAAAUACCCCCCUUGUGGUUUCACUUUUUCUCACAUUAAUACCCUAUAGUUUAAAGUGUAUCAAGUUACUAUCUUGUGAUUUUGCACUUUUUCACUUUAGGGCAUGUUUGGUUGCUCGAAAGUCGGCGUAAUAGAAAAAGUCACUUUUACAAAAGUGACUUUUCAAUUCGAUUGUUUGGUUGCUAUAAAAUAAAAAAAUUAAAACUAUAAUUUUAUAAUUUUUUUUUAUUAAAUUAUAUAUAAAGAGGUGAAAAUAUAAACAAACGACUUAUACUUGCAAUUUAAAUUAAAAAUUUAAAUUUAUAUUAAUAUUUAGAAUUCAAAGUUAUAUUUUAAAAUUUAAUUUAAAGUUAAAUCUGAGUUGAAUUUAUAAUUAAAAUCAAAGACAUAAAUUUAAUUUACAAUUUGAAUUUAAAAUUUAAGUUAUAACUUAUAACUGAAAUUAAAUUUUAAAAUAAAAGUUCAACACAAAAAUUAGAACAUUUAUUCAAAUUUGAAUUUAUAAUUUGAAUCAUAUAUUAAUUUACUCUUUGAUCUUAAAUUUUGAAUUCAAAUAUGAAUUCACAAUUUAAAUUAUUAUUUAUUUUUAAAUUAAAACAUGAGUUUAAAUCACAAUUCGAAUCGAACAUUUGAAUUUUUUAAUUCGAAUUCAAAUUCAGACUGAAACUCAUUAUUGAAAUUAAAUGUAAAUAGCAAAUGUAAAUUUGAAUUUGAAUUUGAACUUGAAAAUUUAAAUUUUAAAUUCAAAUUUCAGUCAAUAAUUUGAAUUUAUAGUUGGAACAAUUUGAAGUCAAAUUUCAAAUUGAAGUUCUUAACUAAAAAUAAUUUGAUUAAAAUUUAAAAUUUAAAAUUUAAAUUUAAAUUCUAGAAUUCAAAUUUAAAUAAAAAUAAAUUUUAAAUUUUAAAUUUUAAUAUAAAGUCAUAAAAUUGAAUUUAAAAUUUUAUGUUGAAUUUUAAUUUACAAAUAAAAUUCAAAAUGUGAUAAUAAUUUUAAUUCAAAUUUAAAGUAAAACUGAACUUUAAAAAUAAAUUUAAGUAUUAAGUUAAGACUAAAUAUAACAUUUUAGCUAAGCUCUCCACUUUCGGUGACUUCCGAAUUUUUUGAGCCGAAGUCAAAAAAGUGAGAUUUGGUUAUAACUCACUUUAUCAACCUACUUUCGUAAAGUGACUUUCAUAUUCAUUUUCGUAAACCAAACAACCGAUGAAACGUCACUUUCUAAAAGUACCACUUUCGGUGUUACACUUUCGGCGAACCAAACAUGCCCUUAGUACCAUGUGGUUUAAAGUGUAUCAAGUUAGUAUCCUACGGUUUCACCCUUUCUCACUUUAGUACCCUGUGGUUUCACACUUUCUCACUUUAGCACUCUGUUGUUUAAAAACCACAGGGUACUAACUUGAUACAAAAAUAAAACCACGGGGUACCAACUUGAUACACUUUAAAUAAUAGGGUACUAAAGUGAGAAAGUGCGGAACCAUAGGGUACUAACUUGAUACACUUUAAACCAUAGGGUACUAAAAUAAGAAAGUACGAAACCACAGGGAGGUUUAUAAAGUUUUCCCUAAAAUUAUUAGUACAGAUUAUAGGACGAUAAAAUAUCAUAUUUUACAGUGUUACGGUUUUAUAUAUAAAUAUAUAUAUAUAUAUAUAUAGAGAGAGAGAGAGAGAGAGAGAGAGAGAGUGAGGCUACUAUGCUUCUAGAAGCACGGAGCCUUUCGUGCUUUCAGAUCAUUUUCGAUAUUGCCACUUUCGAAUUGUCGAUCGGCUCCGUUAAAUUUGAUCUAGAGUAUUUGAAGUACUUAGAAAAUAAAUUUUAUGAUUUUUCGAUAUCAUUUGCCUAGUGAUCGAAGAGGCUCAAAAUCAAUAAUUUUAAAGGCCGCAGUGAGCCGUUUGCAAGUUUAACGGUGUAGAAAUAUCCAAAUCACGUGAAAUUUUGAUAGAAAAUUCUUUAUACUAUAUAAAACAAGAUCAAUAUCUUUGAUCUAAAAUUUUAAUGUCAUAUUAUUACGUUUUGUAAGAUUUUUAUUUUCAGCCGUUGAUUUUGAGCCCCUUAGUUCGCUAGGCAAAUGAUAUCGAAAAAUUGCAAAAUUUAUUUUCUAGGUACUUCGAAUACUCUAGAUCAAGUUUAAGGGCUGAUCGCCUGAUUCGAAAGUCGCAAUAUCGAAAACGACCGUGAAGCACGGAAGGUCCGUGCUUCAGAAGCAUAGUAGCACUCACUCCAUAUAUUAUAUAUAUAUAUAUAUAUAUAUAUAGUCCGGCUACUAUACUUUUAUAAGUACGAUCGCCUUCGUACUCAUAAGUUGCUUUCGAUAAUAGAGUUUUCGAAUCAACGAUCCAUACCGUUAAACAUUAUCUAGAGCAUUUAAAAUUUCUAGAAAUCAAAUUUUAUAAUUUUUCGAUAUCAUUUAUUUUACGAUCAAAACCUCACAAAAUUAACAAUUUUUAAUAGCCGGUAUGAAAUAUUUGCUAGUUUAAUGGUGUAAAAAAAUCGGAAUAGGUUGAAUUUUUGAUAAAAAAUUCUAUUCACUACCUAAAUAAAGAUCAAUAACUCUGAUCUUAAAUUGAAGGUUCCAAUCAUCUAUUUUUAGUAUGUCGUUUGAUUUUGACCGUUCAUUUUAUUUCUGCUUGAUGGACUUUAUAAUGGUUUCAAAAAAUUACGAAAUUUAUUUUCUAAAAGUUUCAAAUACUCUAGAUCAUGUUUAACGGUGUGGAUCGUCGAUUCGAAAGCUUCAACAUUGAAAACAAUUUAUGAGUACAAAAGGCUCUAUACUCAUAAGAGUAUAGUAGCCCUCCUCUAGAUAAUGGAACUAAAUUAAUAGUUUACAUAUGGGUAAAUAAAACAAAUAAAAAAUCACAUGGUUUCUUUAAACCUUUUAAUGUUGGGGUUAUCAAGAGUAAUCAGACCAAAAUUCAAUAAUGUUUAUAUAUAUAUAUAGAGAGAGAGAGAGAGAGAGAGAGAGAGUAAUCCUUCAAUACAACAUAUAAAUCUUGACUUUUUUUUUUUUUUUGAAAACCAAAUUAACAAAAAAUAUUUUUCAGUCGAAAAAUUAUUUUUCGGAAUUUGUCAUGAAAAAAACCUAAUAGAGUAAUCGGACUAAUUUGCAGUUGGUUAAAAAUUUGAUAGUUGGUAAUCGAGAUUAUCGAGACUUCAAAUUUAAAGCCCAGUUAUUUUAUAUUUUUAACUAAGUUUAUUUUUGAAAAAUGAAUUUAGUGGAUAAUAUAAGUCAAGUGUUUGGUGACAUAAUAAUAUAAUAUUUGAAAGGGUAAAUAUUUUUAUUCUUACCACAAUCUAAUAUUUUUGGAUAAAGAGGAACAAAAAUAAUUUUUUGUUUAGUUUCACAUUUCUCAUUCCUAAUUCAUGUCGAAAAGCAAUGAAAAAAAAAACUAUUGAAUUAACUAAACAAACGCAUAAAAAAAAUAAUAAAUUUAAUUGAAUUUUUUUUUAAUUUUUUUUCCUUGAUUUCUCUGGACUUGGUAUUGGUGUCGGAAAGAGUACGAAAAAUCUAAAGAUAACCGUAAUUAUGUUUAGUUAUUUUCUCAAGAAUAACAGUGAAUAGUAGAAAAAAUAUGGCGCGGAUAACGAGACGAAAGUAGGGAUGCCAGCGGAUCGGAUUUGAGUUGGAUUUUCAAAAGCCCAAAUCUGCAUCCGACAUCUAAUAUCGAAACCCGAAUCUGGAUCCGUACUCAGCCAGUUUUAAAACUCCAUAUCCAUAUCUGACGCCGACCAAAAAUCCAAGACCCGAAUUCAAAAGCUCGACCCGAGAAUGAGGAGGACGUAGUGCCAAUGGAGACAGCGGAGAAAAUAGAGGAGAAGAGACCUGUUAGGAUUUGGAUGAUAAAAUGACUAUUUUUCAUCGGUGGAUAAAAAUUUAAUAGAUAAAAAUUAUUAAAUUUUUUUAUAUAUUGUAUAAAUAAAUAAAUAAAUAAUAUAAAAUUUAUUCGGGUUCGGACUGAAGUUCAGAUUUGGAUUUGAAUCAGAUGCAUACAAAAUCAUACCCGUAUCCGAAUUUGUCGAAUUUAGUGAAGGUAAACUCGCCUCUUUCGAAUUCGGGAUCAGGUAAUAUUUCGAAUAUUCAUAUUCAUCGAUAUUUCUAGACGAAAGGGUAGGUGAGAGUGCAGAGGCGAAGGAUAAAUUAGAGAAUAAUCUUAUUUUGCAAUUUUGACUCGUAUAAAUUAUUCGAAUCAAAUUUUAACUUAUUACAUAAAUAUUUUAUUACCGAACAGAGCCUGAGAUAUAGCGAGCCCACGUGGGUUUAGUGCAACUAAACCCAAUUUAAUUAAUUAAAAAUAAACCCUUAAAAAAAAGGACAAAUAGGAUGCUUAAUCGUACACGUGAUUCCAAUUUUUGUAUGCGCCCCACAAUUAGUAACGUUCCCUUGUCGGAAGGGUCUUCUAAAAUUAUUUAGGUAAAGAAAAAAAUGUAUGUUAAACCCCUCAACUAUAGUCCAAUUGGAAAAGGAACCCUCAAAUCUUUUUUUUUCUUUAAGUGUACACUUCUCAAAUUUUUUUAAAAUUAAUUUAUUAAAUUCAAUUAUAAUUUUGUUAAAUUUAACGGCUCUAAUUAUUUUCAUCAAAUAAAGCUGUAUAAACCGAUAACUGAUGUUUAAAAGAACUAUCGAAUAUUAAAAUCGACCAUCUUUUUGCUACGAAAUGACCAUUAUGUUUCCGAAAGAAUUUAAUUUUAUUUAACGCUAUUAAUGUCUUUUAAUUAUAUUAUCAUAAAUAAAUUUCAAAGAAUUAUUUUAAUGAGUAUAAGGGGUAGUAAAAAUGUAACGAUCAACUAAGGAUUAUCAAUCUGCAAGGAUAAAGUUGUAUAUUUUGAAGUUUUACAGAAAUAUAUGUGCUAAUUAAAACUUUGCAUCUAUAAUUUUAGAACAUUGUAGAAAAUUUUUUUUGGAAAAAAAACCUCAAUAAAAAAAUAUAAAAAUUAGGGACCAUUUACAAAGUUGUCUACAACUGAGGGGGUUCCCAGUAAAUUUUAACCAGUUAUUUAUUAAAACCCAUAUGCAUGUUUCGAUCCACCCCUUUGACCAAGUAUUUAUUGGCCACACUUUAACCUCUCUCUCUCUCUCUCUCUCUCUCUCUACUCAGGUACUACUCUCAGAAGCAAUUUUGAAAUUUGAAACUUUUUAUUUCAAAUUUGAGUUUUUAUUUGCUUUGACUUGUGUUCACUCUGGUAUCGUAAACUUCGAUUAACUAGACAUGGACACUGCUGAAAUAACCACUUUGUCAAAU
Molecule: long non-coding RNA, 27695 nt
Filed under: Ananas comosus (pineapple)
Lineage: Eukaryota; Viridiplantae; Streptophyta; Magnoliopsida; Poales; Bromeliaceae
Description: long non-coding RNA (ACOM_LNC024670)
Source: RNAcentral